GUGCUUGCUUCAGCAGCACAUAUACUAAAAUUGGAGAUACACAGAUUAGCAUGGCCUCUGAAGAAGGAUGAUAGGCGAAUUUGUGAAGCAUUCCAUAUUUUA
Mustela erminea (ermine) is the source of this 102-nucleotide small nuclear RNA. The record is from RefSeq and is a predicted model, not a curated record. NCBI's taxonomy places the organism in Eukaryota, Metazoa, Chordata, Mammalia, Carnivora, Mustelidae.